UACGUAGGGGGCAAGCGUUGUCCGGAAUCAUUGGGCGUAAAGCGAGCGUAGGCGGCCCGAUAAGUCUGCUGUAAAAGUCAACGGCUCAACCGUUGAAAGCCGGUGGAUACUGUCGGGCUAGAGUUCGGAAGAGGCAAGUGGAAUUCCAGGUGUAGCGGUGAAAUGCGUAGAUAUCUGGAGGAACACCGGUGGCGAAGGCGGCCUGCUGGACAGUUGCUGACACUGAGGCGCGACAGCGUGGGGAGCAAACAGG
RNAcentral lists this ribosomal RNA (253 nucleotides) under uncultured bacterium. RNAcentral's name for it is "partial 16S ribosomal RNA". It matches the Rfam family "Bacterial small subunit ribosomal RNA", at positions 524 to 776 of the family's 1533-position model. The record is from RNAcentral.